Molecule: ribosomal RNA, 671 nt
Filed under: uncultured forest soil bacterium
Lineage: Bacteria
Description: bacterial SSU rRNA
Rfam family: Bacterial small subunit ribosomal RNA
Source: RNAcentral
GAACGCCGUAGCAAUACGGAGUGGCAGACGGGUGAGUAACGCGUGGGAACAUACCCCUCGGUUCGGAAUAACUCAGGGAAACUUGAGCUAAUACCGGAUACGUCCGAGGUUUUAAUCGACCUUGGAGAAAGAUUUAUCGCCGGAGGAUUGGCCCGCGUCUGAUUAGCUUGUUGGUGAGGUAACGGCUCACCAAGGCGACGAUCAGUAGCUGGUCUGAGAGGAUGAUCAGCCACAUUGGGACUGAGACACGGCCCAAACUCCUACGGGAGGCAGCAGUGGGGAAUAUUGGACAAUGGGCGAAAGCCCGAUCCAGCCAUGCCGCGUGAGUGAUGAAGGCCUUAGGGUUGUAAAGCUCUUUUACCCGGGAAGAUAAUGACGGUACCGGGAGAAUAAGCCCCGGCUAACUUCGUGCCAGCAGCCGCGGUAAUACGAAGGGGGCUAGCGUUGUUCGGAAUUACUGGGCGUAAAGCGCACGUAGGCGGAUCUUUAAGUCAGGGGUGAAAUCCCGAGGCUCAACCUCGGAACUGCCUUUGAUACUGGGGAUAUCGAGUCCGGGAGAGGUGAGUGGAACUGUGAGUGUAGAGGUGAAAUUCGUAGAUAUUCGCAAGAACACCAGUGGCGAAGGCGGCUCACUGGCCCGGUACUGACGCUGAGGUGCGAAAGCGUGGGGA